RNAcentral lists this long non-coding RNA (12225 nucleotides) under Gossypium barbadense (sea-island cotton). Its description in RNAcentral is "long non-coding RNA (GBAR_LNC003632)". Lineage: Eukaryota; Viridiplantae; Streptophyta; Magnoliopsida; Malvales; Malvaceae. The record is from RNAcentral.
AGAAAGUGAAAGCGUGAAAGAGAGCUCAACUGAUUCAGCAAAAGUUGUGGGAAGUGUGAAGCGGAAAGCACCAAGUUUGUUGAAGGCGCAGGGAAGUGAUUCGAAGUCUGGAAAAAAGCGGCAAAGGUGAGUUGAAAGUUGCACCUACUGCAUUGUCAUUGCCAAGGGUUGGUUCUUCUGCAAUGUGGAACUUGGGUGAAUUGUAGUAUUUAUUGUAGCAUUUGGGUAUUUGACGUAGUUCAUAGGUUUGUGGCUAGCAAAAAUUCGUAGUUAAUGCAGUUUAUAGUGGUUGUACUUUGUAGGGUUAAGAUACCUUUUUUAUAUAGAUAUAGUUUUUUUCCUUUUCCUUUAUUAUUGAUGUAGGCAAUAGGAUCACAUUGGGUUUAGAGUUUUUGCCUUUGUACUAAAGAGUUGCUUCUAUAGAUUAACGUAAUAGAUUCGAUUCAAGAAACUGUGGAAGCAGUGGUGGCGUAUCUUUUUCUAUCGAAUGCCUUCCCUCCACCGCCCCCCUUUUUAACGAUUUGCUUCUUUUUUUUUUCGUUUGGUCCGAUUACAUUUUUUUCUAAAAGUAAAUAUAAAACUUAACUGAUAGCACACGAGAUAAGGUAUUAUCUAUUUUUAUAUUUAUAAAGUUUUUCCUAUUCUUUUAAAUUACAAUUACAAAUUGAAGUGGUGUCAACAUUGUUGUUUAGUUACUGUACUCUACGUAGAAGUAAACGAAAUCGAACAGGUUUUGGAUUUUCAUCUUUGUUUGAUAUGAAGAAGUGCUCGUCUGGGUGAAGAUUGUGUAGAUGGAUGGGUGGAGUUAAUUCUUACACAUCGAUUGGUGAUAAAGCAAAUGAGAAAGGGACUCGACAAAUUCUGGGGAAGGCCAACGUGGGAAGGUUGAGGUUCAAUGGCUUCACAAAUGGAUGAUCACCGGCAUUUGAUUGUUUCAUUUGUUUGAACUUUUUGGUGGAUUUAUUUCUUAAUUUUGAUUCGGUCAAUUUCAGGUUUUUAUAUUUUUAUAUUUGGUCAAUUUAUUUAUGAAGUAGUUCUAUUUUUUUGGUUUUUGUUAUAUGAUUCGACUAAUAAAUGUUUUUAUCAGUGGAUUGUAAACCAUAUGUUAAGAAAAUCACUGACACAAAUUAUACACCAAGAGAUUAAGACUUACCUUAAGAAUAUUUCUUAAAAGUGUUAAAAUUUUUUAAUUUUUGAAAAAAAGUGUUUUCCGGCUAAUUUUUUACUUAAGGGAAGUAUUUUUUCUUUCAAACAAUGGUUUAUUUAGAAUAUUCUUGUUCCAAAAAUACUUUUUGUCACAAAAUAUUUUUUAAAAGUAAUACUAAAUUGAUUCUAAAAAGUGGUAGAUGUAUAAUUCUUAGCAAAGUAAGAAUCAAUGACGAUUAUUAAAAAUUAUAGAGAUUUCUGACACAUUAGAUACCACCAAAAUUUUCUGUCAAAUGUAAUAAGGUCCAUAGAAUUAAAAGGGUCGCUGCUCUGGUCUAAUGGAUUGUUAUGAAAAAUAAAUUGAGGUUACAACCAAAGUUUAAUGUAUUCGAUUUAGACUUGUUCAUAGGUCGGGUCACUUGAAAAAUGAGAGGAUUUGAGUAAAAAUAUAAGUCAGAAAAUGGGUUUGGACAAAAAAAAAUAAGACCCAUUUAAAAAACGAGUCAGGCCUUGGGUAAGGCUUUUUAGCCCAGGCCCAUUCCAGCCCAAAUAUGAAAAAAAAUUACUGCUUUUCCUUGUUGUUUUUUACUCUCUUUUUUGUGGUUGUUAUUUUUUCAUUAUUUUGCCGCCAUUUCACUAUUGUGUUAGCACUAUUUUGUAGUUAUUGUUCGGAUAUUGUAUAACUUUUAUUUUAUUGUUAAUUUUGUUACAAUUUUAAAAUGAUUUGCUUGUUAAAUUGCACCUAUAUUUGUGUUAUUUAAGUAUACAUAUAUAUUUAUUUUCAAUUUGUUGGGAAACAUUUAUUUUAUUAUUUUUAGUAUUUUUGAUGUAUUAUAUGUAUUUUAAAUUUUAUAUAAUAAAUAAUAUAAAAAAUUAAUAUAGGCGGGCCAGACCUGAGUUUUAGCAUUCUUAUCCGAGCCGGGCUUAGGCAAAAUAUUAUGCUCAUUUUUGGGCUAGGUCAAUUCUGGGCCCAACAAAUGGGCCUACAUUUUUUGUUGGGCCCAACCUAGCCCAUUGAUACCUCUAAUUCGAUUGUGACAAAUAAAACUAUCAUAUAUCAAUUCUCAAAUUGGAUAACGGUUAAUGAACAUCUAUCAAUAGUUGUUUUAAAUUAUCUAGGGUUUAGGGUUUGAUUAUGGAACUUUAUGCAAAAUUAGAUAUAAUAUACAACCAUUGAGAAAAGACAUUACAUUGCGUGAAGGCAGAUCAGUCUUAAGUCAAUAUGUUAUCGGAUCGAUUGUUGAAUAAAUUAUUUACUGAGUAAGAUUUCGUAAAGUAAAAUUAUUUUUCAAAUCUACGUUGACAAAGUUUAUAUGUCUACAAUUGAUAACUUUAUCUUGUUGAAACAUUUAUUGAGACAAUUUAUUUAAACAUAAACUAAUUUACAUAGAAAAUUUUGAUAGAAUUUAGUACAUUUGAUGUUUAAAAAUUCAAGUAAAAAAAAAUGCAUUACCUUAUAAAGUCAACCAGAAAUAUCAACGCUAUUCUACUAUUGUUUGGAUAUUUGUAAGAAAUAAAACAAUGAAGUACUGAAAAUCAUUGCGUAAUUCGUAAAACAACGUUUGACCUGAUUUAGUAUAUUUAUUAGCCAUUUUUUAUAAUCACAUUAAACAAAACCAAUAUACAUGAAAACGUAAAUCAACAAAGAAAUUGCAGUAAAAGAAAACUUAUUAAUAAAAUCAUUAAUUUUCUUUUUCUCUUUUCCAUUUAAAGAUAAUUUUAAAAUAAAAUAAUCUCAUACGUUGAAGUGAAAUCACAUCCACUCAACCAAGAAAUAGAAAUACAAGUGUUAGAAAGGGACUACUCUCUCAAAUUAAUUAUAUCUCAUCCAUUUUUAAUUUAAUAUAAUAACAUAUAACAAUAAUUAAUCACUAUAGUUAAUAUUUAUUUAUUUAUUACUUUAAAUAUAAUAAUAAAUUAAGUUUUUAAUGUUUAUAUAUUUUAUCAAUUUAGUCUUAAAAAUACAUAUAAAAAAAUAAAAGUACACAUUUUGAGGGCUAAAUUUAUUAUUAUAUAAAAAAUAAAUAAAUAUUAAUAUUGUGAUUAAUUAUCAUUAAAUGCUCACUGUUAAAAUUGACAAGGAUUAUACUAUUUUGAUUUUUUUUUAUAAAGAACAAUUUAUUUAAUAUUGAAAUAAAAAAUUUUAAAAUUGGAUCACUUAUCGAAUUUAUCAUACCACUAAUUCAUCAAUUAAGUUAAUUCGAUUAAAUAAAUUAUUUAAAAAUUAUAAAAACAAAAAAAAUUAAACGUGUAGUUCAAUUGAUUUUUUGUCCAAUUUUAUUAAUCUAUAACAAAUUUCGAAUAAUUUAUUCUGGUUUAAGUUGUUCCACCAAUCAAAUGGAGUACCAUUCAAACAACCUUAAUUGAGAUAGAGGGGAAUUCAUUUUACCUGUAAAUAUAAUUUAAUAUAAUAUUUUUGGACGAUAAUUUAAUAUAAUUUAAAAUAACUUAGUUGUAUAUUUGUAUUGCCGUAAGUUGCUUUUUUGGAAGAAAAUGUCAUUUCAGGCAUAAUAAAAGCCGGAAAGCAAACAAGGCAACAAUAAAAUCAAGCGGUCUAAAGAACUCCACGAGGUCCCCGCUUCCACAGAGUCAAAAGGUGGAUUUAAAGCGUGUAAUUUAACUCCAAUUCAUAAGCACGGCGGAAUCCGAGCACAGCCUCGCUGGAUUCUCCUUAAAGCGCACAAAAAUACACACAACAAAAUCGAUCAAAGAGAGUAAGGAAGAAAAUGAAAAAGCUAAAAUAUUUAAAAUUAUAAAAUUUAUCUUUUACUAUGUUAAAAAAUAAAUGAUCUUUUACAGUAUUCCCUCUGCAAUUUUUUAAUUAAACAAAAAAAAAAAAACCCCUCACCCCAUCAACUUCCGCUUUCUCGUUCGGGAAAAAACCCCGAAAACCCUAACUUUCUCUCGAGUAAAAUCUCCUUCUCCCUCUCUCGCUGAAUCCACCUUUCGUUUUACGUUUUAUGGCCUUUCGCGUGAGUCUGUAGGUUUUCAAUGGUGUGAAAUCGAGGCCUUAGAUUAAGAUUUGAAGGAUCGGUUUCUGUAUAUUUAGGUACAUACUACAUAGAAUAUAUAUUUUUUCAUAGAGAAAAAAGCUAUGACGACAUCUGAGAAAGAGCUGGAGCUACAGUUAAUGGAGGCUGGAAACAGGCUCGUCGAACCCCCGUCGUCAGUCGCUGAGAUCAUCCCUCUCCUUGACGUAAUCCCUAAUCCAUCCUUUUACUAUUUUUCCUUAACUUCGUUUUGCUCUUCGUUAAUUUUUUUCCUUAUUAUUUGAUUUGUCUGAUUUUAUUAUGUAUGCGUUUUCGAAAUUUUUCGUGUGGUUCUUUCUAUGCAAUUAAGUUUGUUAGAUUUCCCCCAUACUGAUCUACUUUUACCCUUUUUUUUUCUAGGAUUUUCUUCUUUUGCAUUGUUUUCACGUGCUUAUUUCUGCUCUUGUUCUCACUGAUGUAAGAUUGAAUCAGUUUAAAAGUGUUUUCUGCUAAUGGGUAUUGUUUAGCACUCUUCAGUCUAAACUAUUGUAAUUUAUAUUUAUUGUGGAUAUAUUGCCAUGUCUAUGUUUUUGAAUUUGAUGAAUUACUGAUACGCACGACGUGUUUGCUUUACUAGACUUUAAAUGCCGGAAUUUCUUUUUUUUUUUUUUUGGAUACUAAUGCUAUGCAGUAGCUAAUAUUUGGAUGAAAUGAUACACAGUUUUGAGAUUUCUUUUGAAUUCAAAAUUGCCCAAGCUGCAUUUAAGUGAUUGCAUAUGUGAAAGUGUGCGUUUUUCUUCUCCAUAUGUCACAUGUAGGCUUUAAGUUUAUGAAACCUGAGGAUUAGUAUAUAAUAGAUAUAUCAUUAUUUUUUGUUUAAAUAAUUAAGCACCACCUAUGUUUAGCAAUUAAUUUCUGACAGGCUAGUUAAAUUUUUAAUAAACAACUUGUGAUGACAUUGAAAGCAUUGAAAAUUAAGUUGGGAAGGAUGUGUAGAUAUUGUGUGAAAGGAUUCCUUGUAAGCAAGGAUUUUGUUGGACAUGUGAGAUUACGAUGUUAUUGCAUAAAACAUUUAUGUUAAUUAUAGAUAUAUUUGCAAAUAUUUAAUCUAUUUCCUUAGAGGGAUGAUGCAUCGGAAUCUGUUACUUUUAAUGAAUUUAACCUCAUCUUUUCUAUACCUCUAGGAAGAUCUGUCCUGCCAAAAUUUUGUGUCCCAAAUAAGGAGCUAUUAAAAUCCACUAUGGAUGAUUGAUAGGAUAGAAUUUUGACUCUAUACUUGAUGAUGUCCUUAUUUUUAUGGUCUUUGCAACGUUUUGGUUUUCUUCUGCCCCAGAACUCCUUUUACAAAUGAUAGUAAUGUCAAAGAAGAUUCUGGAAUUGUGAUAUACCGCACAACUCUGUUGCUAUUCCCUGUUUAGAAAAAAUUAUGUGUACUCAUGAUGUCAAGCAAGAAAACUUUGAAGAGGAUGUGCAAAAAAAGUGAUACUAGUGCAACUAUUCGUUUUCCUUUGGUAGAUUGUUUUGAUUGGAAUCAAUGUCUCCUUUAAAUCAUCACUCUAGGUUUAGCGUCUCUUAGGGUUUUACUACUUGUUCUUGAGUAGGUGGCUGCUAUAAAACCGUGCAUGAAUUCUGUUUUCGAAUGCCCUAGGAAUUUAGUAAUGACUGCAGUGUGAUUCCAGUGAUGAGUGUGUGCUGAAGUGUUUGGUUUGUAGUCAAUUUGAAGUACAAAAUUUUAAGUAUUUUGGUUUUGCUCUCCUUAUUUUACAAGGGGAUAAUUCGUGUUGCAUUUUUUUUACUGCCAGCUUUACCCUUCUAUUUCUGUUCUUGUGGGGCAUUAUAGCUGUAUAGUUAAUUUUUGCACUUCCUAAUGAUGUGUGGGAUGAUUGAUUGUUUGAAUUUUUAGGUGCUUUAGCAUUCCCGUGUUUUGCCUUAUGCCAGUGCCUUUUAUAAAUACUUUUCACAUUGAUGAUUAUUGUUUAUUCUUUUCUAUCCUUCGUGAAUACAGCAAGUUGAGAGUUGUCUUUCAAUGGUGGAACAAUCACCAAGCCAAUCAAUGCAAAAUGCACUGUCUCCAUCACUCAAAGCAUUAGUAGCAGAGCAACUGUUCAGACAUCCUGAUGAUGAUGUAAAAGUUGCAGUUGCUGCUUGCAUCAGCGAGAUAACAAGGAUAACUGCACCUGAUGCUCCUUAUGAUGAUGACCAAAUGAGGGUACGUUGAAUUCAUUGCUUCAGGAUGCUUUGCAGAUCAUGACCAUUUUAAAAUCAUUUUCUGUAUUUAUUGCCUUUAAUAUGUAUGCAGGAGGUUUUUCAACUGAUUGUGUCAUCCUUAAAGAAUUUAUCUGACAAGUCCAGCCGUUCAUUCAUUAAGAGGACCUCGAUUCUUGAAACUGUUGCCAAAGUCAGAUCGUGUGUGGUGAUGUUGGAUCUUGAAUGUGAUGCCCUUAUUGUUGAGAUGUUCCAGCAUUUCCUCAAGGCAAUAAGGUAAAAGCGAACUUCUUGAAUGGAGAGUUCAUUCUCUUGUUGUGUUUCAUCAUUGUUAUUCUUCAGCUAUUGUCUCCUCGUUACUGUCUGAUUUGUAAGUUUUUAUCUUUUUAAGUUUAUUGCUUUUGAAAACUCUUGUGGAUGAACCUGUGCUUUUGCAGAAGCUGUUCUCUUAAUGUCAAGUGAUGAUCAUGGCUGCUGUGAAAUUUGAACUAUGUGUUUAAAAUGAUAGACUGCUAUAUAGGUUUCUGAAUAAUGGAGAUUAUGCUCCCUCUAGAGUGUCUGGAUUUAAACCUUUCAUUAUCUAGUUGCCUAUGCUAGGUAACAGAUCCUCAGUUCCUUCUAAUCUGAACAAAGUUUAAGUGCUUUUUUAAGAAUUCUAAGUUCCUUUAGGGAGCUUUGUCUUGGUCAAGUUUUUAAUAGAGUUUGUUUUCAUAUUAAAAUUUUGUCGUCAUCCAAAUGUACCACUACUUAACUAGAGUAUAUUACUAGUAUGAAAAAUAAUAAAAAUGGUUUUAGUAUUCUGUGUCGAACAUGUAUUCUGAACCUUUAUUUUCCUUAUGAUUCUUUUUGUUUAUUUUUUCAGGGAUUAUCAUGCAGAGGCUGUCUUUACAUCGAUGGUGACUAUUAUGACACUUGUGCUGGAAGAAAGUGAAGAUAUCCCUACAGAACUGCUCUCCCCAAUCUUAUCUAGUGUAAAGAAGGAUAAUGAGGUCUGUUGUCAUACGAGUAAGUUACUGCCUUUCACUUCUGCUAUCUUUGCUUAAUUCACCUAGGGUUUCUAUUUCCUCUCAGGAAGUUCUUCCUGUUGCUCGGAAGUUGGCAGAGAAAGUGCUUGAAAACUGUGCAUCAAAGCUUCAACCAUACCUAACCCAAGCUGUAGAGAACUUGGGAAUUUCUUUUGAUGAUUAUAGUAGUAUAGUUGCUUCUAUAUGUGGAGCGACAGCUGGUGCUGUAGAGCGGGAUGAUGCUGCUGUUGGAAAACUUGUGGUAAUUACCUCAUUUGUAUCUUAAUGUAACUGCUUAAUUUCAAAGUCUGUGGUUUGAGGGCAAUUAUUUACUUAUUUUGUGCUGUGAUUUUGUAUGAAUUUCGACUCAGCAUUAUUUGCUGAUAGAUUAUUUGCUACUUAAUUAUACAAAAUUUAAUGCUUUUUAUUUAUAUAUUUUGUUUGUCAACGCUUUGUUCUUGGGCUUUUUGUGGCUUAUCUUUUAAUUUUUUCUUUUGUUCAAACUAUUCUUCAAACCAACAAGGUUUUGGCUCGUGCUUAUACCUUACUGAUGUCUUCUAUUUUUUUAUUAACGUAACUUAGUCUCCAACUCUCCUUAUGUUUUUCUUUUUGGGUUGAUUUGCUGUAGGAUGAUGAGAGAAUACCAGCAGAGGCACCUUUGGAUAACGCAGCCCAGGUAUGUUUUAUUUCGUAUAUUUAUUGUCAAUUGUGUGAUUCUUCUCUUUGCGUGCAGAUUCAAGUCCUUUCUCUUUCCUUUUAAUGUAUUGAUUUUUUUUUUUUUUUGAGAAUUUAAUUCCUGAAUUUGUCAUUUAUAAAUCUUAAAAAUUCCUAUCAGGAGGUUAAAAAGAUUCCUAAAGAAGCAGUUUCAGUUGAACAAGUGGCCCUUGUAAAUGAAAAGACUCCUGUGCCAGUUGCUUGCAAUGGCAUUAUGCAAACUGUUGAUUCAAUCUCUGUAAAGAAGCAAGAGGAUGAUAACAUUGCUGAUAAGUCUGAGAAUGAAACAUCAACUGUGGCUGAACCUGAUUUAUUCGAAGCUGAAAAAGUGGUCGAUCCGGACCCUAAGUUAGAGCAAAGUCCCCAGGAAAAGGAGAGGAAAUCUGAUUCAAAAUUAACUGAACCUUCUGGCAGUUCUCAUGUUGAUGAGAAGGAAGUUGAGACUAUACCGGAUCGUAAACAUGACUGCAAGGAUGAUGCUGGUUCUCCAUGUCGAGAUGUGUCUGUUGAUGGGGAUAUAUCCUCUGAAAAUAGAAUAGAGACAGAUUUACAGCAUUCCUCUCCAAAAGCAAUUGAGGAUAAAUCGACUGAUGUUGCUUCCUCAACACCAAGUGGGACUGUAAUUGAUGAUGGUCAUUCCAAAAGGGUAUCAAGGACAAAAAAGAAAGACAGCGUAAGCAAGGACACAACAUGUUCUGUUGAUGAUGUCUCUAAAAAGGCGCAUUCAGGGACAAGUGAUUCUGAAGCAAAAUUAAAUAGACGAUCAGGAAAAAAGGGUUCUACUGUAGUUUCCAACGAGGACAAUGCUCCAGUUAGUGUAGAUGAAACUAAGAAAGAAAGUGACAUUGCAAGUGAUUCGGAGGCAAAAUCACUGAAGAAGUCAUCAAAGAAGGUAGAUUCUAGUGGUAACAACUUAGAUAAAUCCUCUUCAAAGCAACUGGAGGAUAAGAAUAGGCGAGCUAGGGGGAAAGUUGCUCCUGAGAAGGAUGGAACAAAAAACUCAACCAAGAAUGAUGAUGAGGUAAUUUCUUUUUGGCUUAUAACUUGUAAUUUAGCUAUUGUGGUAAUGUUGAUUAUUCAAAACUUUGUGAUUUAUUUGUUUAGCUGUACUUGAUCCUUCUAUCAAGGGAAUCAUUCUUGCUUACUAUUGAUUUAGGAAGUGAUUGGAUCUUCAAAGUCAGUGAAGCCAAACAAACAAGAUUCUCACAAGGAGGGGACCCCUAAGACAAAUUCCAAGAGAAAGCAUAUGCCAAUUAAAGAAAAAGUAAUGUCUUUUUGCAUCUUUGAGGAUGAAAUUUUAGUAGUGGUGUAUUGUAGUUUUGGUAGGUUGCAUUUAAAUAAAGGUGGCAUCUACGCUGCUACGAUUUUUCAUGUUUAUUGAUGUACUGUGUUUGUUUCUAAUGUUCGAAGCAUAUCUAGACAUAGAUAUGGGCCUAUGUACUUGCAAGGGGCCUCUAAAUACAUGGAAAAUUUGAAAAAAUUAAACGUACCUGUGUCCAGCACUAACAUCUCAGUCUGAGAAACAUAGGCCAGAAUUGUAGGUGGCCUUUGAUGAUGUUUGUGCGUUUGAACUCUUAAUGAUUUCUCCAUUCUUGCAUCCUUGAUGUUCAUUUUGCUAUUCACAGGCCAUUUAUCUUUUCUUGCUUUCUUCUCAAUUCUCAUAUUGGCUUUUUUCUGAUUAUUCUUGAUUGUCUAGAUUUUUACCUUUAGAUUUUCUUGAAGCGUUCAAUUUUAGCCUUUAAAAAAGUUGUCUUUCAUGUUGUUUCCUCAUUUUUUUUCCUUUGUUUCUUAAAGAUUUUUCUUCUUUCAAAAUUAUGCCUGUCUAGCGUCAUGCUGCAUUUAACCAUCUUUGAGGUAAUUUUUCUUUCAAGAGCCAUUUGACAUUAGUUUGAUAUUUUCACAAGGUUCCAGUUUGUGUGUUUCUUUGGAAACAGUAAGCCUGCAAUGUUGUCCUUAUGCCUUUCUAUAAAACCCACCAAACCAAUGCUCUGCUGUACAACUAUUGCAUUCGUGUGAGUGCUAACUUAUGUAUUUUCUUUUGUUGUUUCUUGAGAUCGUAGCUAAUUGUGUUUUGUCUGCAAUAUUGAAAUUUGGAGUAAAUAGGCUCAAAUAAUUGUAAACCUUUUAUUCGACUCUGUUCAUGCAUGCUGCGGUCUGAAGAUGGUUGAAGCAAUGAUAUUACAUAUCAUUCUUCUGGAGACGAAUGAUUUUUUUUUUUUAUUAAUUCUUUUCAGUCUUCUGAUUCUAUGGAGUAUGGUGAGAAUCUUGUCGGCUUGAAGGUAAAGGUCUGGUGGCCCAAAGACCGUGAGUAAGUAUAUCUAUUUUUCAAUUGUUGCAGAAGCGAUCCUCUGAAUUAGAAACCAUGAAUUUUAUUUGUUUAUAUAUUCUUUUUUAUGUGGAUGCACAUGCGGGCAAAUGUGAUUGUGCUUAUAUAUGUGGGAGCCCCCAUCCCUCAAAUUAUAAUGUCAAUGAAUUAAAGUUGGUCAGCCUUGAAGCUUAUUAUCAUUUAUAAGCUCCUUUUCCCUUGUUCUCUCACACUUGAAUCUUUUAUUGCUGCAAGAAAAAAAAUGAUAAAUGUAAAGUGUUCUCUUUCAAACAUGGCAUGUCUGCUAAUUUCUUUCUUUUCUUAUGGAUAUUGUUUUGCAGGUUCUACGAAGGUUUUAUUCAUUCAUUUGAUUCCGCUAAAAAGAAGCACAAGGUGACCCGUCUAAUAAGUGGAAAUUCAUUUUAAUGUUUAUUUUCCUUAGUAUGUUACUGGAAGUUUUUCCUCUGACCAUUCAUGCUAGAAUGUAUUAAAUUAUUUUCUUCACUUUUCAUUUGUUUAUAGGUGCACUAUAAUGACGGUGAUGAAGAAAUUUUAAAUCUUAAAAGAGAAAAGUGGGCUGUGAUUGAAGAUGAGUCAGGGUCAGAUGAGGUGGGCACCUCAUAAGCAAUUGUAUGUUUAUUUGUUCAUGUACCAUGUUGCUAAUGUUUCAUUGAAACAGGAAGGUGCAGCAAAUCCACCAAGUCCUGAUGGUUCAUCUGACAUGUAGGUGAUUCCUAUUUGUGCUUCUUGAAUGUUAAAUUUGAUUGCUCGACCAUUUUGGUUCCAGAUGGUUCUGUUCAUUUUGGUCUUGUAUGAUGAACUUUUGCGUAGUUGGCAUCUAUAGUUUAAGUUGAUUCUGUUCCAUUCUUUAGCAUUGUUAAUUUUAUCUGAAAUGUGGAGUUUAUUUCAGGUUUAGGUGUUAUAUCUGGUGUAACUUUGCAUUUCUGUUUCACAUUCUUUGUUUGGGCUUAUCUUCUUUUCCCUUGUGAUCACUUUUUAUUGGCAGGCAUCAAAAGAAGAAGGCAAAAACCACUGAUCUCUCUAGCAAGAAAGCUAAGAUGGAUGCUUCACCAAAAAGGUUAUUAGAUUCUUUCAAAUGGAACCCUUGAUAUGUUCUUUAUUUGAUUUCUGAAAAUCCCAAUAUUGGAUGGUCAGGGGUGGAGGAACUUCGUCGGGGAAAUCCAAGGGUAGUGCCACAAAGUCUGGUCGCAAAACAAAGGAAGAUGCUAAAGUGGAUGGGAAAUCCAAAGAUGGUUCCAAGAGUGUUAGUAAAUCUGGCAAUGACAGUGUUGCUAAGUCCAAGGAUCAUAGCACCCCCAAAACUGGCAGUAAACCAGUUGACAAUGCUUCAAAAGUAGACAAGAAGUCCAAGAAUGAGGAGAGUGGUGAAACACCAAAGUCUACGAAAUCCAAGGAUGAUGGAAGUGCCACACCAAAAGCUUCCUCAAAGUUAAAGCAAGACAUCUCAAAGACGGCCAAUUCCAAGCAGGAAACCCCCAAAAUUUCGUCCCAAUCUAAGGGUAAGUCUCUUAAGAGUGGGGGCAAAUCCAAUUCUAAUGGCACUGGUAAGUCAAAAUCUGGUUCGUCAAAGGUGAAAGGAAGUGAAAGCGUGAAGGAGAGCUCAACUGAUUCAGCAAAAGUUGUGGGAAGUGUGAAGCGGAAAGCACCAAGUUUGUUGAAGGCGCAGGGAAGUGAUUCGAAGUCUGGAAAAAAGCGGCAAAGAUGAGUUGAAAGUCGCACCUACUGCAUUGUCAUUGCCAAGGGUUGGUUCUUCUCCAAUGUGGAACUUGGGUGAAUUGUAGUAUUUAUUGUAGCAUUUGGGUAUUUGACGUAGUUCUUAGGUUUGUGGCUAGCAAAUAUUCGUAGUUAAUGCAGUUUAUAG